AUGUUUGAGGAGUUUGGGAGGUUGCUGAUGGAAGCCACAACAUAUAACAUAACGGAGAUAGAGAAAAUGAAGAAGUAUGUGGCAACCCACAAUAAUGCGGCAAAGAGAGAGAGACAGAGAUGGAGUAGAGUUGUUUACGAGGUUACUAUCGCGGAUGAUCAAAAGGAGUUUACUUAUGAGUGUGGUCAAUUCGAACACACUGGUUUGCUGUGCAGCCACAUUCUAAGGGUAAUCGAAAUACUACACCUAGAACAUAUUCCAUCUAAACAUAUUGUGAAAAGGUGGACGAAGGACGCAAGAGACAUUCUACCAAGCCAUCUGCAGCGGUACCAAAAGGACAAGCGGACCAACACAUCAUUCACAUGGAGGCAUUCGACACUGUACUUCAAAGCUAUGGACGUCGUUCGAAUGGGGGAUGCGAGUGCAGAAUCGUCUGAUUUCAUGCUAGCUGGGAUGGAAGAUCUACUAGUACGUGGAGCACCUAUUGCAGAGAGGAGAGAUGGCCUCGGGUUUGAGGAUCGGGUGACAACCUUAGACCCUGUGAGGCAAAAUGAUAAUGGAGAAGUUGCUUUGGUGCUCGGUACAGGUGCCGAUAAAGAGAAUAGCAUGACACAUUCUGUCAGCGUCAAUGACUUGGAAGGGCUCACAGCACCCGCUAAACAGAGGGGGGUUGGUAGGCCAACCAAUAGCAGGGAGAAGGCAUCGUACGAAGGACUCAGUCAAUGUACACAUUUCUGCAGCAUUUGCAGGAGGGAAGGACACAAAAGAACUACAUGUCCUGACAGAGGGGACGCACCAAAAAAGCCGAGGAAACCUGGUUGA
RNAcentral lists this ribosomal RNA (822 nucleotides) under Triticum aestivum (bread wheat). Its description in RNAcentral is "partial small subunit ribosomal RNA". Lineage: Eukaryota; Viridiplantae; Streptophyta; Magnoliopsida; Poales; Poaceae. The record is from RNAcentral.